AGCUUUGUGCAGUGGCAGUAUCGUGCCCAAUGAGGUUUAUCUGAGGCAUGAUUAUUGCUAAUUGAAAACUUUUCCCACUUAAA
Molecule: small nuclear RNA, 83 nt
Filed under: Chinchilla lanigera (long-tailed chinchilla)
Lineage: Eukaryota; Metazoa; Chordata; Mammalia; Rodentia; Chinchillidae
Description: U4 spliceosomal RNA (ENSCLAG00000020764.1)
Rfam family: U4 spliceosomal RNA
About the family: U4 small nuclear RNA (U4 snRNA) is a component of the major U2-dependent spliceosome. The structure of U4 snRNA from yeast and human has been reported. U4 snRNA presents a k-turn RNA motif in the 5p-SL related to recognition of Snu13 protein.
Source: RNAcentral